RNAcentral lists this transfer RNA (73 nucleotides) under Danio rerio (zebrafish). It matches the Rfam family "tRNA". From Rfam's summary of the family: Transfer RNA (tRNA) molecules are approximately 80 nucleotides in length. Their secondary structure includes four short double-helical elements and three loops (D, anti-codon, and T loops). Further hydrogen bonds mediate the characteristic L-shaped molecular structure. tRNAs have two regions of fundamental functional importance: the anti-codon, which is responsible for specific mRNA codon recognition, and the 3' end, to which the tRNAs corresponding amino acid is attached (by aminoacyl-tRNA synthetases). tRNAs cope with the degeneracy of the genetic code in two manners: having more than one tRNA (with a specific anti-codon) for a particular amino acid; and 'wobble' base-pairing, i.e. permitting non-standard base-pairing at the 3rd anti-codon position. Lineage: Eukaryota; Metazoa; Chordata; Actinopteri; Cypriniformes; Danionidae. The record is from Rfam by way of RNAcentral.
GCCUGGCUAGCUCAGUCGGUAGAACAUGAGACUCUUUAUCUCAGGGUCGUUGGUUAGAUCCCCACGUUGGGCG